UACGUAGGGUGCGAGCGUUGUCCGGAAUUACUGGGCGUAAAGAGCUCGUAGGUGGUUUGUCGCGUUGUUUCGUGAAAACUCACAGCUCAACUGUGGGCGUGCGGGCGAUACGGGCAGACUGGAGUACUGCAGGGGAGACUGGAAUUCCUGGUGUAGCGGUGGAAUGCGCAGAUAUCAGGAGGAACACCGGUGGCGAAGGCGGUCUGCUGGGCAGUAGCUGACGCUGAAUGCGCGACAGCGUGGGGAGCAAACAGG
This 255-nucleotide ribosomal RNA is filed under the name uncultured bacterium. RNAcentral describes it as "partial 16S ribosomal RNA". It matches the Rfam family "Bacterial small subunit ribosomal RNA", at positions 524 to 776 of the family's 1533-position model. The record is from RNAcentral.